AGAGUUUGAUCAUGGCUCAGGAUGAACGCUAGCGGCAGGCCUAAUACAUGCAAGUCGAACGAGACUUGGUAGCAAUAUCAAGUUUAGUGGCGCACGGGUGCGUAACGCGUAUGCAACCUACCUUUGACAGGGGGAUAGCCCGGGGAAACCCGGAUUAACACCGCAUAAUAUAGUUGAAUGGCAUCAUUUAAUUAUUAAAUUUCCGGAGGUCAAAGAUGGGCAUGCGUCUGAUUAGCUAGUUGGUGAGGUAAUGGCUCACCAAGGCGACGAUCAGUAGGGGACCUGAGAGGGUGAUCCCCCACACUGGCACUGAGAUACGGGCCAGACUCCUACGGGAGGCAGCAGUAGGGAAUAUUGGGCAAUGGUCGAGAGACUGACCCAGCCAUGCCGCGUGAAGGAAGAAGGCUUUCUGAGUUGUAAACUUCUUUUAUCUGGGAAAAAACGACCCUUGCGAGGGGCAUUGAUGGUACCAGAAGAAUAAGCACCGGCUAACUCCGUGCCAGCAGCCGCGGUAAUACGGAGGGUGCAAGCGUUGUCCGGAUUUAUUGGGUUUAAAGGGUGCGUAGGCGGUUUUGUAAGUCAGUGUUUAAAGUCAGCAGCUUAACUGUUGUAGUGGCAUUGAUACUGCAGAACUUGAGUAAAGUUGAGGUUGGCGGAAUUUAUGGUGUAGCGGUGAAAUGCAUAGAUACCAUAAAGAACACCGAUUGCGAAGGCAGCUAACUAAGCUUUAACUGACGCUGAGGCACGAAAGCGUGGGGAUCAAACAGGAUUAGAUACCCCGGUAGUCC
RNAcentral lists this ribosomal RNA (788 nucleotides) under uncultured bacterium. RNAcentral's name for it is "bacterial SSU rRNA". It matches the Rfam family "Bacterial small subunit ribosomal RNA", at positions 8 to 796 of the family's 1533-position model. The record is from RNAcentral.